AUUGAACGCUAGCGGUAGGCUUUACAAAUGCAAGUCGAACGAGUGGCGGACGGGUGGGUAAUAUAUCGGAACGUGCCCAGUAGCGGGGGAUAACUACUGGAAAGAGUGGCUAAUACCGCAUACUAUUGGAGCGGCCGAUAUCGGAUUAGCUUGUUGGUGGGGUAAAGGCUCACCAAGGCAACGAUCCGUAGCUGGUUUGAGGGGACGACCAGCCAAACCGGGACAGAGACAAGGCCCAGGCUCCUGAGGGAGGCAGGAGGGGGGGAAUAUGGACAAUUGGGGAAACCCUGAUCCAGCCAUCCCGCUUGUAUUAGGAGGCCUUCGGGUUGUAAAAGCCUUUUGGCCGGGAAGCGGUAUCUGCAGAAUAAGCACCGGCUCACUACGGUCCAGGAGCCGCGGUAAUUA
Molecule: ribosomal RNA, 405 nt
Filed under: uncultured bacterium
Lineage: Bacteria
Description: partial 16S ribosomal RNA
Rfam family: Bacterial small subunit ribosomal RNA
Source: RNAcentral